Molecule: transfer RNA, 88 nt
Filed under: Deltaproteobacteria bacterium
Lineage: Bacteria; Pseudomonadati; Myxococcota; Myxococcia
Description: tRNA-Ile
Source: RNAcentral
GGCUAAGUCCUUGUUGUACUUGAGAAAAUUCUUGCGUAGCAUCGGGCUCAUAACCGGACGGUCCCUGGUUCGAUUCCAGGAGGGCCCA